Molecule: long non-coding RNA, 392 nt
Filed under: Brassica napus (rape)
Lineage: Eukaryota; Viridiplantae; Streptophyta; Magnoliopsida; Brassicales; Brassicaceae
Description: long non-coding RNA (BNAP_LNC002171)
Source: RNAcentral
CGAUUCUGAAGAAGACGCAUUCAAUUCCUCCUUCGCAAAAUUGCUGUACAAAACAACUCGUUUUCCCUCUCUCUCUCUCUCUCUCUCUCUCUCUCUCUCUCUCUCUUGCUCUCAGACGAAGCAAAUAAACGAUCCCCUCUCUCUUCUCUCUCUAGCUUCUUCAUCGUCUUCACCUUUGCUCUCAGACGAAGCAAAUAAACGAUCCCCUCUCUCUUCUCUCUCUAGCUUCUUCAUCGUCUUCACAUUGGUAUCGAUCCUCGCGAUUUCGUCGUCUUCUGCACGUUCACAUUGCGAUUUUAACUCCUCCACACCUAUUGAAAGCUAACAAAAAAAUAAUACACACAAAAAUAAACUUGGAUUGUUUCAAUUAGACGCUGAUCUCGAUACAUAGG